UAAACGCUGGCGGCGUGCUUAACACAUGCAAGUCGAACGGAGUGGUCCUCCCGAAGACCUGAUUGAGCUUGCUCUUGAUGGAAUUCAUUUGGAUCACUUAGUGGCGGACGGGUGAGUAACGCGUGGGUAACCUGCCCUAUACUGGGGGAUAGCAGUUGGAAACGACUGAUAAUACCGCAUAAGCGCACAGCAUCGCAUGGUGCAGUGUGAAAAACUCCGGUGGUAUAGGAUGGACCCGCGUCUGAUUAGCUAGUUGGUGAGGUAACGGCCCACCAAGGCGACGAUCAGUAGCCGGCCUGAGAGGGUGUACGGCCACAUUGGGACUGAGACACGGCCCAAACUCCUACGGGAGGCAGCAGGUGGGGAAUAUUGGACAAUGGGGGAAACCCUGAUCCAGCGACGCCCGCGUGAGUGAAGAAGUAUCUCGGUAUGUAAAGCUCUAUCAGCAGGGAAGAUAAUGACGGUACCUGACUAAGAAGCACCGGCUAAAUACGUGCCAGCCGCUGC
RNAcentral lists this ribosomal RNA (507 nucleotides) under uncultured bacterium. RNAcentral's name for it is "bacterial SSU rRNA". It matches the Rfam family "Bacterial small subunit ribosomal RNA", at positions 30 to 518 of the family's 1533-position model. The record is from RNAcentral.